RNAcentral lists this ribosomal RNA (490 nucleotides) under uncultured bacterium. RNAcentral's name for it is "bacterial SSU rRNA". It matches the Rfam family "Bacterial small subunit ribosomal RNA", at positions 28 to 534 of the family's 1533-position model. The record is from RNAcentral.
GAUGAACGCUGGCGGCGUGCCUAAUACAUGCAAGUCGAACGCGAAGCCUGGUUUCGGCUGGGUGGAGAGUGGCGGACGGGUGAGUAACACAUGGCUGACCUGCCCUUCAGAGGGGGACAACUGCUGGAAACGGCAGCUAAUACCCCAUACGCUCGUGGUGGUUAGGGGACCACGAGGAAAGGCUGAGGUGCUGAGGGAGGGGGCUGUGGCCCAUCAGCUAGUUGGUAGGGUAAUGGCCUACCAAGGCGAGGACGGGUAGGGGGCCUGAGAGGGUGACCCCCCACACUGGAACUGAGAGACGGUCCAGACUCCUACGGGAGGCAGCAGUAAGGGAUAUUGCGACAAUGGGCGAGAGCCUGACGCAGCAACGCCGCGUGCGGGAGGAAGGCCUUCGGGUUGUAAACCGCUUUUGAGGGGAAGAGGAAGGACGGUACCCUUCGAAUAAGUCUCGGCUAACUACGUGCCAGCAGCCGCGGUAAACGUUAGUCGU